RNAcentral lists this long non-coding RNA (13986 nucleotides) under Trifolium pratense (red clover). RNAcentral describes it as "long non-coding RNA (TPRA_LNC013101)". The record is from RNAcentral. Lineage: Eukaryota; Viridiplantae; Streptophyta; Magnoliopsida; Fabales; Fabaceae.
UCAAGAUCAGAAAACAAAAUUAUAUAAAAACCAAAGAAAAUAUCUAGUAACAACGCAAUAAUUCAUUUAGGCUCCCAAAAGCAAAACAACACACCUGUUCAUACAGAGACAAGGACCAAUAUAACGGGACUAGUACAGGAUUCGUACAUAAUUAAAUGGCCAAGACAUACUCUAUGCAGGUUCCUCCAUCAGUAUAUUGGAAUUUAGCAUUAAAUUGGAGACUAUCAGAUGGAAUAAUCUCGCCAAUCUCAAAAAGACUUCAUGUGAAUGAUCCGUUGCAUGUCAAAACGUACAAGGUCAGUAUAGUCAGCACUCAGCAAACUGAUACUUUCAGUCACUUAUCUGAUAUCUAAUAUCCCAGGGCAUACUUUGAACUACAAUCCAAAAGAAAGGUUGACGCAGAAGGCAUUGUAACUUGUAAGGCAAUACUGUUGAUGAGCACUCUUCGAAGCCCAUUAUCUUUGAGGUUGGAUGUGGGUGUUGUGUUGACUCUUCUCAACUAUAUCUUCUAUCAAAAGCCUAACAAGUAACAGUAUCAAUACUCAAAGCAACAUCUAUCAACUCAAAAAACUUUACAAGAGCUAAAACAAAGGAAACAUAAACAACAAUUGAAUAUGAAAGGUACUGAAUAUCAUAAGAUAUUUUUCCAAAAACACUCUAGGCAGUAGGCAUAUUAUGAAUAGUACCACACAACUAAAACAAAGUUAACUUUAUUGUUUAUUUUAGAAAAUGAACAAUAGAGUACCUAAAUUAUGAAUGAAAGCCACAAAAACCGUGGCCUCUUUGUGGGUUUGUAGUUUCAUAUGUUUCCAAUUUUUAAUGGAUAGUCCUUCUCUUCAAGAAUAAGUCACUUACUAAACAAAUGACGUAUCAACUAAAGCAAAUCACAAGAUCAACCACAAUGAAUAAUGUACCUUUGUUUGGAAGUCCGUUUUAAUUGAAUGCAUAAUUUACUGCGGACCCCUGUAAUCGAUGAUGUCAACUUCUGCAGAUGGUGAGUUUUGAAGCAAGAAGUUUACUACCCCCUUAGGUAUGAUUACAAACGGUUCAUCUGCUUCUUUGAGAAGUAUCUUGUGAGCUUCUUUAAGCGACUUGUAUUUAAACACAACUUCUUUCCUUACAUAAGAUGAUAAUCCAAGAGGGCGUGGUUUCAGUUCUACUUUCAGUGACUUCAAGUUACGCAAGGAAGGGAGUUUAACCUUGAAUAAAUCAGGAUCUAAGGAAAGAAUCUACGCAAUUAGGGAGGAUUAAGAUUAGUUUGAUGUAAGCCACUUGAUUUUUGACAAUAUUUGGAAAUUGUUUUUUUUUUAUAAAAAAACAGUAUCUUACUAAGAAAGUAAACAUGAAACCUCAAAACAUGGCUAGUUCAGGUACCUGAAGAGUAUAUGCAUUGACGGUCAAUGAUUUUAUAUUAUCAAGGUCUUGAAUAAAAUCAAAUAAGGCUCCCCAAUUCUUGAAAAUAUGUCUACAAGAAUAUUUACUUGUUUAACUGAAGAAAGACUGCUUCCACACGACCACACAGUCUCUGCUUAGGAGUACCGUAAAAAGUAAUUGUACGAAGACUUGGAGCAGAUAGCUCGAUUUUGGUAAAGUCGGACGAGCUAUUACUACGCACAGUUAAAUGUAUGGUUAUCCCUUACACUACAUCUAGAAAUGAUCAAAUUAUUCGGUAUGUUGAAAGAUGAAAAUGGUUCGGCAUGAUCAGCAUUGCCAUUUGCGCAAAAGGAGAAAUUAGAUAGAUCCAAGCUAGUCAAUGCUGGCAAAUUUAGAUACUUCAGAAAUAAUGUUUUUUCAUCAUUAUAAGGACCAUUAGGGUAAACACAAAGCUUAAGAGACGUAAGUCCCUGACAUGACAAAAUGCGGGGAAAAAUGAUACCUUGCUCUUGCUCUCUUGGUGUUGGGUGGAAUCAUUGAGAACACGAAUUUGAGAAAAAAUAAAUAAAAUCUCAGCAAAGUCAUGGUAGAUUACAAUUGAAAAAAAAGAAAAGUUGAGAAAAUACCGUGAAAUUGAAAUUGAAAUUAACGUACUUUUGAAAAGAACGGUAGAGAAGGUUUACCGAGAGUUGGGGUCAUACAGCAAGUUUUGUAUUUCUAGGGUUCUUAUUUUUAUUUUUUUGCUCGGAGGAAAAAUGUGUUAAGUUUGCGAUGUGAACAACAAGUAACUAAAAUUAAAGUUGUUUAAUAAUUUUUACUUAAAAAAAAAAGUUUUUUUUUUUUACAUACUUAAAAAAAAAGUUUAAAAGUUGUUUUUAAUUAUAGUUUUGAAUUCUCGCGCGUCUUAUUUUUACUUAUCCGCUACUACAAUUGCGAGCCUUAUUUUUACUCGUUCGCUGCUUAAUGGGAACAAGCAUAGUUCACAUCACAAUCUCUUUGAGGGUCCGUUGAGGUAUAAAACUGCAUGUACGUUUAAAAUCGAGAGUAUGCAGUGCAGUUGAGGUAUCAAGAAGAGUUAAAAUCUUAGUCACAAACAUGCCUAGUUUCUUUGCGGUGGUAAAUUCUGAGGAAUGCAAUAUAAGGGUAGGAUUAUAUUUCCAAAGAUUCUUCCAUCUUGGUUGACAGACACCGCGUCUGUCUUUGUCUACUAUAUAAAUUUAUGUUAAAAAAUUAAAAAAAUGUCCUAUGUUAUAGUGAAUUUUUUAAUUAGAGAUCCCAGCCUAAACCAAUUAGCUAAGAGCAGGUGAGUAGAGCUGUUAAAGGGGCUGGCCUGGUCUGGCCCGGCCCCGAGGGCCCGAACAUUUAAAGGGCCCAGCCGGUCAUGCCCGGGUUGAUAAACAAAAGCCUACAUGGUCCGAUGGACCGGCCCGUUUAAAUUUUUAUUUUUUUAGCAAUUUUUUUUUUAAAUGUAUGAAUGACACACAAAUUAGUAUCCAUAACACAAAAUGGGUAUCAUGAUUUCACAAGAUAAUAAAUAAUGCAAAAUAUCCACGCAAAAAUCAAGAAAUAAUAAAUUCACAAAGUGCACCCUCAAAUCUAAUAAAUUUCAAGCUUACAAUCCUUCAAUUGGGAUUUAUGACUUAACAAUGGAGGAUUCGUCUUCGUCUUGUUCAAAAAAACAAUGGAGGAUUCAUUUGGGUUUAGUCAAAAUUAUAUGAUAAACUAUAACUUGAAUUGAUUCUAAAUAUGUUUGCCUUUAAAUAAGCUUACAAUAGAAAAACAAACGUAAAAAAGAUAAUAACUAACUUAUUUUAAAUUUAUGAUCUUUUAAAUUUAAAAGAUAAUUAUCCUACUAAUAACAAACUUAAAGGGUCAAAAUAUCUUUUUGUUUCAAAAUCAAAAUUUCAGUUUAUUUUUUUUCAAUAUUUUUUUUAAAAAUUCUUUAAGGGGCAGGCCCAAAAGCCCGUGGGCUGGUCCAUGACGGCCCAUGAAAAAGCCUGACCUGAUAAGGCCCAACCCGCAAUUUGUGAAGCCCUACCCGUGUAAAUAUAUAGGGCUAAUAGGCCGGCCCGUUAGCCCCACCCAUUUUGACAGCUCUACAGGUGUGCCGUCAGAUCAAAAGGAUCAUGUAGCAUAGGUAUAGAAUAGAUAUAAUAAAGUUAAAAGAUAUGUUUGAUAAUAUAUUAUAUAUUUUUUUAAGUAUAGAAACUGUUUUUUUUCUUCUUAAUAGAGCUUUUAAAAAUUGUUGUUUAGCCUAACUUCUUACUUAUAUGAAAAAAGAAGAGGAAAAAAGUUAGGUUAAAUAGUACCUAAGGACCACACAAAUUAGUGUUAAUGGAUUGGACAAAAAUAAAGAUUUUUAUUUUCUACCGAACUAUGAGAGACAAUUUUUUGUCUUCUCACAAGUUGUCUAAGAUACCAAAAUAACUUUUUUAUACAUCGAUCAUCGUAGAAGAUAAAAUUUAUUCAAUACCUUAAUAACAUGUGUCAUGUGUUGUUCCGUUUUGUACUGUUAUGUAUUGUUCUGUUUUGUACUGUUAUGUAUUGUUCCGUAAGAAAGUUGUUUUAUAAGUAUUAGAGAAAACAACACUCGUGGCAAGCAAUUCUUAUAAAUAUUUUGCACAAAGACUUUUUUUUUUUGGCUUUCACCACCAGUUUAAUCUGGUUCGGGGGUCGGUUCUGGCAUCAAGUGGUUCCAGCCCCCUCCCGAUCGUAGUUGCAGGGAUCGAACCGUGGUCCUCCCAACCAAGUUCAGCAUCAAUUACCACUGAACCAACUAACGAUUAAAACAAAGGAAACUCAAAAUGAAUAAAAGGAACAAUAGCGUGCCUAAAUCAGACUAGAACGACUUGUAAGCAAAGUAACAUACAUCCCUGCAACUCGCAAUAUGUGAACAAAAGCCACUAAACCUUUGGCUUCUUUGCUGGUGUGAAGCUUACAUUGCUUCCUAUUUUUAACCGAUAAUUUUUCUCUUCAAGGACGAUUCUUCGACCGAGCAAAUCACAUGAUCAACUAUAAAGAAUAAUAAUUAGUUAAGAUAAACUUUUCAGCAAGAACUUCCUACAAUCUUUUUGCUUUGAAAUAAUUACCACGACUAUAAAUUUUUUAAAUAACUACCUAAGGUAGGCGGCAACAGAAGGUUUCAGAGUUUAAUUCAAGUACAUGAUCUAUGAUAACUUCUAUUGACGGCGAGUUUUGAAGCAAGAAGUCCACUAUUCCAUCAGGCAUGCUUAAAGAUGAUUGAUAUGAACAAAUUUGGAAUCUAAGGUAAAGAAAUAGUAAAAUAUAGAAUGGAUGUUGGAAGCAACACACUGUUAUAUUGAUUAUCCUAUAGAAUCAAGGUGAUUCUAUGGUAGAAUUUCAUCAGUCAUUGAUUUCAUCAGUACUUAAUUCAGUGACUUCAACUUACACAAGGAAUAAAACUCCAUCGAUAAAUAUGAAACAAGGGAGAGAACCUGAGCAAUGAAGUGUGAGGAUGAGUUAGGUUCAGUUUAACACAAGUCAAAAUAUUUUAGACAAAAUGUAGAAAUAAAAAAACACAUCUUAAGAAGAAAGUUUAUUAAGCCAGUAGAGUAAAGCCAAAGAGAAAUAAAGCAAUCUCCUGAUACAUGCUCGCUGUGCAAUGAUGACAAUAGUUGCAAAAACACCAUUAUUUUCAGGUUCAGGGACUGCAUUCUGAAGUAGAAUUAUAUUUUUAUUAGAAUAUUUCUAAGAGAAAUUGACUUAUAUAAAUAAUCUCUUGUUCUCAUUCUCAUAUUGAUAUAUAUAUCUAAAUGCAAUUUUAUAUGUAGUUUCUGGAAUGCAAAGUUAUUAUGGAUAAUAACUUUCCAUAACUUUUUGGUUUGGUCUUAUUAUCAAUUUAACAAUACAUAAGCUGUAUAUUCUUGGCUCUUGAGUAAUUAGAUACAUUUUUUGUUCUAAUGCAAAUGUUGGGGAAAAAAAAAACUACUUUUUAUCAAUCAAAUAGGAAAUCAAUAAAAAAAAUCAGUAGUCUAAUGUAUAUCAUCACAUCUAUUCGUAUAUGGAUUUUGCAUGUCUAUAUGCAUCAAAUCUGAUUAUUCAACCAUUGUUGUUAGUUGAGUAGCGGUAGUAGUUUUUAAGUCAGUUCAGAAACAAUUUACAAGUUGAAAACUAGUUCAGAACCAAAACUAAACUAACCAUUUUUGUGUUUAAAACAGUUUGGUUCAAAAGUUUUAAAACCGAUGCAGAGAACCAAAGAAUCAGUUCAGUUUGGUGAACAGUAAAACCGAUUCAAUUUGGUUCAGCUGAAAUGGUUUCCAAUUCGGUUCAGUUUUCUCUGGUGAAUCAAACCAUGACCACUCCUAGUUUGACAGGCAAUUAUGACCGUCGAAUAUCUCAUAACAUGUCUUCCAAAAUGACUUAAUGCAUAUUUCAAAAAUACUCAAGCAACUAAAACAACAAAAUGAACUAAAAUGAACAAUAUAGAGCCUAACCUUUGGCUUCUUUGCCGGUUUGAAACAAGAAGUCCACUAUUUCAUAAGGCAUAUGCUUAAAGAUGAUUUGAUCAGUACUUUCAGUGACUUCAACGUACACAAGGAAUAAAUCUUAAGGUACCUGAAUAGUACCUUAAGGCUAAAGAGCUGUUCUGAUGACAUGUAAAAGCAUCGAUGUUUACUUGUUUAACAGAAGAAAGACCGAUACUGCAUAGUUUAUAUGAAGGGGUGGAGCAGAUAACUGAAGUUUGGAAAUGAGUAUGAAACUAUCAUGCAUGGUUAAAUUGACGAACGUCGCAUUUGAUUUUGCUAGUUGCGAGAGAUUGAACCGCGGUCCUCCCAACUAAGUUCAGCGCCAAUCACCACUGAACGAACCAACAAUUGAAAAUUUUUGGUUAAACUUUGUUUAUCUUGUGAACAAACUCUAGAUUUUCGGGAUUCCCUAGGAACUAGAAUAUUAAUACCAAAAGAAAUAAUAAAUAAUUACUAAAUUUUUUUUUUUGAGAAAAUAAAUAAUUACUAAAUGUUUUCACAUAAAUGAUUCCGUGAGCAUAAUUUGAUUGGUAGUGACAUUGCACGUAAAAUGCAGGGAUCAGAGUUUGAACCUUGAUACUCCCACUAUUUCACCUUAAAAAGUGAAAUUCUAGUCACUAAAUUACUUGGAUAAAAAAGAAGCAAAUGAGAAAUAAUAAUAAUAAUAAUAAUAAUAAUAAUAAUAAUAAUAAUAAUAAUAAUAAUAAUAAUAAUUCAGAUUUCGAUGGGAAUCAAAUGGGAAAUGAUCCUCUCAAUUUUUUCCCUCAAUUUAUACAUCUUAACUAUGGAUAAACUUUUCUUCAUUUUUUUAUAAUUAAAAUAUUAACACAUAAUUUAUAUACAAACAUUAUUGGCAUUCUCGGUAAUGCUGAAAAGCUGUACUGCCUAAGAAAAAAGUUAUAUAUAUUAACUGUUUAAUUGAUAUGCACCGACGGUGUAAAAUACUUUUACACCAUCGUCCAAUAAAUAAUCAUUAUUUUUCCAUGUUAUGUCAAGAAAGUGGGGUGAAGUGGGAUGAUGUGGCAAAAAAUAUGAUUGGUAUUAGUUGACGAUGUAAAAUUAUUUUACACCGUCAGCGGUGCAUAUCAAUUAAAUCCUAUUAACUUUGACCCGACUUCUAUUUUUAUUAAGUAGAAAAGUUUGAAAUAAGCUGGCCCAAACAUAUAGUUUGAUGCAAGCCACUUGAUUUUUGACAAAAGUUGGAAAUAAAUAAAAAUGCAUAUUUUAAGUUAUUGUAGGCUUUAUGGUUGAUUGUUGUCAUUGUUGUAAGACAUAUUUUCAAUUUAAUACUUAUUUUAACCCACUUGGGGUUGGUCUAGUAGUGUUGGCUUAAAUCUUUAGAGUAUGCUCCUCUCAAGGUCUCAGGUUCGAUUCCUCCUGGUGCUAAUUUUGGUGGGAUAAGUUCACACAUAGAAAAAAACUAGCUUUAAAUGGGGUUCCGCAAGUGGGCGGUGGGAUUGGUCUCCUUGGAUUAGUCGGUCAUAGGACCGGAAACGAAGUUUUCAAAAAAAUUUAAUACUUAUUUUAUGAUUAGGAUGAACGAUUUUACUACACUAUUAUUUAAUAUUUAUCACGGAUGAUUUCUAAAAUAUUUACAAGAGGAAUUGGGUAACCGGCAUGAGUGAAACUUCAUAUAAGAUAUGCAAAAGGUAUAAUUUCUGUAACCAUGAUUUAACUACAAAGUUGCAAUUAAAAAAUAUGGUCAUUUACCCUUCUGUGUCGUGAAGUGCAAUCAAAUCAGUCUCUGAGUCGUAGACUCACGUUGGCUAACAGCUAGCGGUGUUAUAUAGUAAGGAUGACACAAAUUGGCAAAAGACACUUUAAACCAAGGUGAUGAGUAAACUGUGGAAAUGAUUUAAAAAGCAUAGAGAUACUUAAGCAAUAACAAUUAAUUAACAGAAUGAAUAACUUUCCUUGAGUACCACACAAUCCUUGUCAUUGAAAGAAAAUCCUUUAACCAGAAAGAGUAUCAUAUCAUGUGAGUUCAACCACUUUAUUUUGAAGUAUUUUUUGGCAAGGAGAGAAGAGAAAGACUUCAUGAUUUUCCUUUUUGUGAGAGUAUUAGAAAUUAUUAUCGCGAAAGGAUUUUGAAAAUUUUCGAAGCACUCCAAAAUCACAGCUAUAGUUUUUUAUUUCAGCCCCUCAUUCCAUCACAAACAAUAUUGGAUCAAGAAAAUGUGAAUAAAUGCAGGAUUCUCUUUUGUGUGAGUGAUGUCAACAAAAAACAUGAAUUAUCAACACCAGAAAACAGAAUUAUAUAAAAACCAAAGAAAUCAUCGAUAAAAAUAUCUAGUAACAACUAAAUGAUUCAUUUAGGCUCCCAAAAACAAAAACACAGACCUAAUGCAUGUCAAAUCGUACAACAUGAUUGAUAUAGUCAGCAUUCGGCAAACUGAUUUCAGUCACUUAUCUGAUAUCUAAUAUCCCAAGGCAUACUUUGAACUACAAUCCAAAAGAAAGGUUGACACAGAAGGCAUUGUAACUUGUAAGGUUGACGCUCUUCAAAGCCCGUUAUCUUGAGGUGGGGAACGGGUGUUGGGUUGGCUCUUCUCAACUGUAUCUUCGUUUGAUGAUGUAUCGAAAGUCAAACUAACAAUAGCAAUAGUCAAAGAAAAAUUUAUCAAUUCAAAAAAUUAACUAGAGUUAAAAUAAAGGAGAAAUAAACAAUAGUUGAAUAUGAAAGAUACUAAAUCUCAUAAAAUAAAACAAAGGAAACAUUCUAAACAGUAGGCAUACUUCAAAAGUAUCACACAACUAAAAGAAAGGAAACUUGCAAAAGUUUCCAAAUUUCAUUUUUAAUUUUAACUGGAAUAUCUCUCAGGCCUUGAAUGAUGCUUAUCAAACAGGUUACAAUAAUACAAUUCCAUUUGAUCCUUCUGAGGAUGAGUUUCUUUGGAAACAUAAUUCUGGUAUUCUGACCCUCAAAGAUGCUUAUAUUUUCCAAUCUCCUCCUCGUCAGAAGAUUCCUUGGGCUAAAUUGAUUUCAAGCUCUUCUAUCACUCCUUCUAAAUCUCUUCUUCUUUGUUGAACCUUGCAUAACAAGAUUCCUACUGAAUGCUAAUAGCUGGUGCUUUCUUGUCCCUCAGGUUAUUAUAGGGCUGACUAUUCUAGAAAUAGAUUAGUUAUUCCUUACUUUCGUUUUUUUAACCUUUAAGAGGGUUUUGGUUUGGCCCCCCUCCUUUCUCUUUUUAUUUCUCUGAUAUUUAGGGCUCCGCAGUUAUCCUGCAACCCAUCUUUUGUCUUAAAAAAAAGAGUAAACUUUAUUUUUUUUGUUAAAAAAUGAAAAAUAGAGUCUCAAAGUUAUGAAUGAAAACCACAAAAAUUGUGGCCUCUUUGCGAGUUUGAUGUUUCACUUGCUUCCUAUUUUUCAAUCGAUAAUCCUCUGCAAGAAUAAGUCACUGCCUAAAGAAAUGACAUAUCAACUAAAGAAAAUCACAAGAUCAAGUAUAAAGAAUAGUUUACCGUAGUUUGGUGGGCCAUUUCAUCCGACUGCAUACUUUCAGUGUCUUCAAGUUACACAACAAUGAAGGGAGUUUAGCCUUGAAUAAAUCAGGAACUAAGAAGAGAAUCUGAGCAAUUAGGGAGAAUUAUGAUUAGGUUGAUGCAAGUCAGUUGAUUUUUGACAAAAUUUGUUUAUGAAAUAAAAAAACAUCUUAAGAAGAAAGUAAACAUGAAACCUCAAAACAUAGCAAGUUAAUGUACCUUAAGAUUACUCGCAGUGACUGUCAAUGAUUUUGUAUUAAUAAGGUCCUGCGGCCAGCUGAAUAGAACAAAAGGAAGCUCCUCAAAUGUAUUUGAAAAUAUGUCCGCUUCAAUAUUUACUUGUUUAAUUGAAGAAAGACUGCUUCCACACAGUCUCUGAUGAGGAACACCAUCAAAAGUAAUGGUAUAAAGACUAGGAGCGAAUAACUCAAUUUUGGUAAAGUCAGAUGAAUUAUUAGACAUAGCUAAAUUGACAAGGGUUGAACUUGAUAUUCUUAGAAUCGGGGCAUCCAUUACAGUACAAUUAGAAAUGAUCAAAUUAUUUAAGCAAUUAAAUGAUGAAAAGGGUUCGGCAUGAUCAGCAAUGUCGCUAGCACAAAAUGCAAAAUAAGUUAGAUCCAAGCUAGUCAAUGCUGGCAAAUUCAGAGAUUUUGGAAAUAAUGUUCUUUUCCCAUUACUAUAAAGACCUUUAGGGUAAACACAAAGCUUAAGAGACGUAAGAGCCUGGCAUGAAGAAAUGCGAGGAAAAAUGAUACUACUAUCACCUUUAACACAGAUUCCUAAUUGCUUGAGUUGGGUAUUAUGGGAACAAGCAUAGUUUACAAUCUCUUUGAGAGUCCGUUGAGGUUCAAAACUGCCCAAACGCUCAAAAUCGAGAGUGUGCAGUGAAGGUGUGGUGGUAUCACGAAGAUUCAAAAUCUUAGUCACAAAUAUGGCUAAUUUUUUUGCAUUGGAGAAUUCUGAGGAAUGCAAUAUAANNNNNNNNNNNNNNNNNNNNNNNNNNNNNNNNNNNNNNNNNNNNNNNNNNNNNNNNNNNNNNNGGAGAACACAAUCAGGUAAGUCACUCAACCUAUCUUCAUUCUCUUCAUUAUUAUCAUGCCUCCCUCUCUUGUUGUCGGGUGGAAUCAUUUUCUCAUGCGCUAAACUAGACAUUACAACUCAGAUAACUACCGGUACCUGCACAAGCAUAAACGGAAAAAACAAUGUGGAAUCAUUUUCUGCAAUAUUAUACAACGGAUCACGAAUUUGAGUUACAAAGAGAAUCAAAUCUACGGCGAGCUUUCAAAUCUCAUCAAAGUCAUACUAGAUUGCAAUUGGGAAAAUGGAUAGGAACGGUGGAAAGAGGUGCUAGAUUGCAUACCUUGAAAUUGACGAUUUACACAUCCAAGCAAACACUUCGCUCUAUUUCGUACGGGAUAGAAACGGUGAAGUGAGGUCUACAGACUGGUUCAUAGAACCAGUUUUCUAGGGUUCCAACAAAAUGCAUUAGUUUAGACACUAAACUAUUUGACCAACAAAAAAGAAGAAUUACCAACAUUUGAUUGGUCCAUUUGCUGCCACAUCAUAUCAAAAUAUGUCAUGUAUGCAUAAUUUUAAGUAUUUGAGUCCAAUUUCAGAAAUUGAAAAAAAUGAGAGGCCAAAAUUGGGAAAUUUAAAAUGUGGGGACCAAAAUUCAGAAAUCGACAAAUAAGGGGAUCAAAACUGCAAUUAAACCAUUUGGUUCCGUUUUCUUUGGUGAAUCAAACCAUGACCACUAAUUUGACAAGCAAUUCUUAUAAAUAUUUUGCACAAAGACUCUAGGAAGCAUGCAUAUUUCAAAAUAAUCAAGCAAUUAAAACAAAGGAAACUCAAAAUGAAUUAAAAGGAACAAUAGAGUGCCUAAAUUAUGCUUUUAUUUAUAAAUCAGACUAGAACGACUUGUAAGCAAAAUAACACACAUACCUUUUGCUUCUUUGCCAGUUUGAAGCAAGAAGUCCACUAUUCCAUCAGGCAUGCUUAAAGAUGAUUUGAGAAACUUUAACUUACACCAGGAAUAAAUCUUAAGCUAUAUCAUGUGAGUUCAACCACUUUAUUUUGAAGUACAUUUUGGCUAGGAGAGAAGAGAAAGACUUCAUGAUUUUCCUUUUUGUGAGAGUAUUAGAAAUUAUUAUCGUGAAAGGAUUUUGAAAAUUUUCGAAGCACUCCAAAAUCACAGCUAAAGUUUUUAAUUUCAGCCCCUCAUUCCAUCGGAAACAAUCGCGUAUCAAGAAAAUAUGAAUAAAUGCAGGGUUCAACUUUAGUACGAGUGAGAUCAACAAAACACAUGAAUUAUCAAGAUCAGAAAACAGAAUUAUAUAAAAACCAAAGAAAAUAUCUAGUAACAACGCAAUAAUUCAUUUAGGCUCCCAAAAUCAAAACAACACACCUGUUCAUACAGAGAUAAGGACCAAUAUAACGGGACUAGUACAUGAUUCGUACAUAAUUAAAUGGCCAAGACAUACUCUAUGCAGGUUCCUCCAUCAGUAUAUUGGAAUUUAGCAUUAAAUUGGAGACUAUCAGAUGGAAUAAUCUCGCCAAUCUCAAAAAGACUUCAUGUGAAUGAUCCGUUGCAUGUCAAAUCGUACAAGGUCAGUAUAGUCAGCACUCAGCAAACUGAUACUUUCAGUCACUUAUCUGCUAUCUAAUAUCCCAGGGCAUACUUUGAACUACAAUCCAAAAGAAAGGUUGACGCAGAAGGCAUUGUAACUUGUAAGGCAAUACUGUUGAUGAGCACUCUUCGAAGCCCGUUAUCUUUGAGGUUGGAUGUGGGUGUUGUGUUGACUCUUCUCAACUAUAUCUUCAAUUGAUGAUGUAUCAAAAGCCCAACAAGUAGCUAAAUCUAUCAACUCAAAAAACUUCACAAGAGCUAAAACAAAGGAAACAUAUACAACAAUUGAAUAUGAAAGAUACUGAAUAUCAUAAGAUGUUUUUCCAAAAACACUCUAGGCAGUAGGCAUAUUAUGAAUAGUACCACACAACUAAAACAAAGUUAACUUUAUUGUUUAUUUUAGAAAAUGAACAAUAGAGUGCCUAAAUUAUGAAUGAAAGCCACAAAAACCGUGGCCUCUUUGUGGGUUUGUAGUUUCAUUUGUUUCCAAUUUUUAAUGGAUAGUCCUUCUCUUCAAGAAUAAGUCACUGACUAAGCAAAUGACGUAUCAACUAAAGCAAAUCACAAGAUCAACCACAAUGAAUAAUGUACCUUAGUUUGGAGGUCCGUUUUAACUGAAUGCAUAAUUUACUGCGGACCCCUGUAAUCGAUGAUGUCAACUUCUGCAGAUGGUGAGUUUUGAAGCAAGAAGUGUACUACCCCCUUAGGUAUGAUUACAAAUGGUUCAUCUGCUUCUUUGAGAAGUAUCUUGUAAGCUUCUUUACGCGACUUGUAUUUAAACACAACUUCUUUCCUUACAUAAGAUGAUAAUCCAAGAGUGCGUGGUUUCAGUUCUACUUUCAGUGACUUCAAGUUACGCAAGGAAGGGAGUUUAACCUUGAAUAAAUCAGGAUCUAAGGAAAGAAUCUACGCAAUUAGGGAGGAUUACGAUUAGUUUGAUGUAAGCCACUUGAUUUUUGACAGUAUUUGGAUUAUUUUUUUUUAUAAAAAAACAGUAUCUUACUAAGAAAGUAAACAUGAAACCUCAAAACAUGGCAAGUUCAGGUACCUGAAGAGUAUAUGCAUUGACGGUCAAUGAUUUUAUAUUAUCAAGGUCUUGCAGCCAGCUGAAUAAAAACAAAUAAGGCUCCCCAAUUCUUGAAAAUAUGUCUACAAGAAUAUUUACUUGUUUAACUGAAGAAAGACUGCUUCCACACAGUCUCUGCUUAGGAGUACCGUAAAAAGUAAUUGUAUGAAGACUUGGAGCGGAUAGCUCGAUUUUGGUAAAGUCGGACGAGCUAUUACUACGCACAGUUAAAUGUACAAUGGUGGCACUUGAUAUGGUUAUCCCUUACACUACAUCUAGAAAUGAUCAAAUUAUUCGGUAUGUUAAAAGAUGAAAAUGGUUCGGCAUGAUCAGCAUUGCCAUUUGCGCAAAAGGAGAAAUUAGAUAGAUCCAAGCUAGUCAAUGCUGGCAAAUUUAGAUACUUCGGAAAUAAUGUUUUUUCAUCAUUAUAAGGACUAUUAGGGUAAACACAAAGCUUAAGAGACGUAAGUCCCUGACAUGAAAAAAUGCGGGGAAAAAUGAUACUACUACUAUCAUCUGAAACGGAGAUUCCUAGUUGCUUGAGCUGGGUAUUAUGGGAACAAGCAUAGUUCACAAUCUCUUUGAGGGUCCGUUGAGGCAUAAAACUGUUUGUGAGUAUGCAGUGCAGUCGAGGUAUCCCGAAGAGUUAAAAUCUUAGUCACAAACAUGCCUAGUAAUUCCGAGGAAUGCAAUACAAUCGGGUAAGUUACUAAGUCUAUCUUCAUUAUCAUCAUGCCUUGCUCUCUUGGUGUUGUGUGGAAUCAUUGAGAACACGAAUUUGAGAAAAAAUAAAUAAAAUCUCAGCAAAGUCAUGGUAGAUUACAAUUGAAAAAAAAGAAAAGUUGAGAAAAUACCGUGAAAUUGAAAUUAACGAUUUAUGGGUCCAAGGAGUGGAAAAGAACGGUAGAGAAGGUUUACAGAGAGUUGGGGUCAUACAACCAGUUUUGUAU